RNAcentral lists this unclassified non-coding RNA (20 nucleotides) under Mus musculus (house mouse). Its description in RNAcentral is "oocyte_clustered_small_RNA3702". Lineage: Eukaryota; Metazoa; Chordata; Mammalia; Rodentia; Muridae. The record is from RNAcentral.
ACGGAGUAGCAGGACAACGG